UAAUAAUGAUGAUAAUGGGAGAGGGGGGUCGGGUGGGGACGAAACCUCCUACUUUGAGACAAAGAAAAUCUCUUCCAUUAAAACCUGCAUCACGAAUCCUUCUGCUCCAAGCUCUCAACCAUCUCUUUCAAACUGCCAGUUCCUGGGCUGAAAUAUUAUUUAUUCCUUUCCUUUCCAAUAAAACAAUUAUUUGUUCCACCAUUUCCCCCCUCGUUCACUCUCCGGUGUGUCUGGCUUCGUCCUGACAGCUCGGCCACGGACUGUUUACAUGUCUCGCUCACCCUCCAAGACUCUGGUUCAGCUCCAUUGACACUAAAGGCAGGCGAAUUCUCUCGGUGUGAGGAAUCAAUUACUUCCGCUGACACUCUAUUACUGGCCCUCACAUCUUUGGACUCCAGAUGGAGAGUGAAGGUGGUGGUGAGGAUGGCAGGGAAUUUGAAGAGGAUGACACAGAAAGAGAUCUCUCUCCUUGACUGCCCCGCUGGCAUCCGGAGGUGACUGCAUGGCAGGAAGAGGCAAAGAAAAGGAAUAAAAAGAGAAAAGGAAAAGAAAAGGCUUGUCAAGGAUAUCUAAAGAAAUCAGAGAGGCCCCAAAUACCUAAGCACUGGGACAGCAGAUGACAGCUCCAAGCAGAUUGACACAGAGGAGUCAAGCUAAGCCAAAGGAGAGUUGAACUCAAGGGCAAAACCCUUAAGGCCAAUCUCCAUGUACAGAGGGGAAAUUGACCCUGUUUGAGCUACUGAGCCCGCUGGCCCUCAUUGCAAAUGCAAUUUUGAUGCCAUUGAUGAGAGAUCUGGGAUUACAAUUCCUGACCAUUUUAGGAGACAUUUGGGGAAGGAAACAGAAGAAUAAUUUUGAGGUCUCUCCAAAAACCAAAGGAGAAAAAAAAAAGAAAUUCAGCCGGAGCCGCAGAAGCCGCAACGCAUAUGGGCAAGAUCCCCUAAAACUUGGUCUGGAAAGCUGAUUCCCGAAGGUUCCCCAACCCAGAUGAUUCCCAGAGGGGCGACAAGUCUAUUCCAAAUCCCUCCCCCACCUCCAAACACUAGGGCUACCGGCGCCCGCCACCCAGCCGCUGGACGCCUGCGACCCGGUGGGAAAGACCCCCGGCACAGCCAGCCCGAGUCGAAGGGCGGGGGCAGCCCUUCAAUCAGAGCGCGCCUUGCCUCCAUUAACUUGUGUUGAUAUUAAAAAGAAAUCAAUCAGUGAAAAUGAAGCA
Molecule: long non-coding RNA, 1216 nt
Filed under: Homo sapiens (human)
Lineage: Eukaryota; Metazoa; Chordata; Mammalia; Primates; Hominidae
Description: HSALNT0046164
Source: RNAcentral